RNAcentral lists this ribosomal RNA (253 nucleotides) under uncultured bacterium. Its description in RNAcentral is "partial 16S ribosomal RNA". It matches the Rfam family "Bacterial small subunit ribosomal RNA", at positions 524 to 776 of the family's 1533-position model. The record is from RNAcentral.
UACGUAGGGGGCAAGCGUUGUCCGGAUUUAUUGGGCGUAAAGAGCGUGUAGGCGGCCAGACAGGUCAGCUGUGAAAACUCGAGGCUCAACCUCGAGACGUCGGUUGAAACCGUCUGGCUAGAGUCCGGAAGAGGAGAGUGGAAUUCCCGGUGUAGCGGUGAAAUGCGCAGAUAUCGGGAAGAACACGCGUGGCGAAGGCGGCUCUCUGGGACGGUACUGACGCUGAGACGCGAAAGCGUGGGGAGCGAACAGG